RNAcentral lists this ribosomal RNA (467 nucleotides) under uncultured bacterium. RNAcentral's name for it is "partial 16S ribosomal RNA". It matches the Rfam family "Bacterial small subunit ribosomal RNA", at positions 28 to 507 of the family's 1533-position model. The record is from RNAcentral.
GAUGAACGCUGGCGGCGUGCUUAACACAUGCAAGUCGAACGGAAAGGCUCCUGCUUGCAGGGGUACUCGAGUGGCGAACGGGUGAGUAACACGUGGGUGAUCUGCCCUGCACUUCGGGAUAAGCCUGGGAAACUGGGUCUAAUACCGGAUAGGACCACAUUUUGGAUGGUGUGGUGGAAAGUUUUUCGGUGUGGGAUGAGCUCGCGGCCUAUCAGCUUGUUGGUGGGGUAAUGGCCUACCAAGGCGUCGACGGGUAGCCGGCCUGGGAGGGUGUACGGGCACAUUGGGGCUGAGAUACGGCCCAGACUUCUACGGGAGGCAGCAGUGGGGAAUAUUGCACAAUGGGCGCAAGCCUGAUGCAGCGACGCCGCGUGGGGGAUGACGGCCUUCGGGUUGGAAACUCCUUUCGCUAGGGACGAAGCGUUUUUGUGACGGUACCUGGAGAAGAAGCACCGGCUAACUACGUG